AAUAUUCAAGAAUGGAGGUAGUAU
Molecule: microRNA, 24 nt
Filed under: Zea mays
Lineage: Eukaryota; Viridiplantae; Streptophyta; Magnoliopsida; Poales; Poaceae
Description: microRNA miR-3074
Source: RNAcentral